This is a long non-coding RNA of Cebus imitator (Panamanian white-faced capuchin), 500 nucleotides long. RefSeq lists it as uncharacterized. The transcript has 2 exons. The record is from RefSeq and is a predicted model, not a curated record. Lineage: Eukaryota; Metazoa; Chordata; Mammalia; Primates; Cebidae.
ACAAGCUGAGGGCUCCCACUGAUUCCACAUUAUGUGCCUCCUCUUGCCCAUGGAAGGAAUCCAGCUUCUUGGUUCUUCACUGUCCAACCCAGUUUAGUGGCUGGCCAUUCCACAGAGAGGAUCCUCCACACUACCUGAGCCCUGAUGUCUCUGGCUCCAAAGGACGCAGCUCUGCUCAUCCCCCCUGAGGCCCAUCAUGAGUUGCUGUGGCUGUGGAAGCCUGCUGUCCUGGGAUGGAGACUCUUCCCACUGCCCUGUCCCUUCAGUUUCAGCAGAAGCAUGAUCCUGCUCCAUGUGGAUCCCUGAAGCAGCAGAUCUGGAACUCCGCUGAUGCUGGGGCCUUCAGGGACCACGAGAAACCCAUCUCAAUGAUGAAUCCUGGGCUUUUUUUACCCCUUGGGACAGUCCUGGUUUCAAACAUUUACCUCGGAAAGAGCACUCAACAGCUGCCACGUGGCUGCCCUGAGGUUUGGGCUGAAACAACAUGACUAUUAUACCUA